UACGGGGGGGGCAAGCGUUGUUCGGAAUUACUGGGCGUAAAGGGCUCGUAGGCGGCCAACUAAGUCGGACGUGAAAUCCCCAGGCUCAACCUGGGAACUGCGUCCGAUACUGGAUGGCUUGAAUCCGGGAGAGGGAUGCAGAAUUCCAGGUGUAGCGGUGAAAUGCGUAGAUAUCUGGAGGAAUACCGGUGGCGAAGGCGGCAUCCUGGACCGACAUUGACGCUGAUGAGCGAAAGCCAGGGGAGCAAACGGG
RNAcentral lists this ribosomal RNA (253 nucleotides) under uncultured bacterium. RNAcentral's name for it is "partial 16S ribosomal RNA". It matches the Rfam family "Bacterial small subunit ribosomal RNA", at positions 524 to 776 of the family's 1533-position model. The record is from RNAcentral.